Molecule: ribosomal RNA, 252 nt
Filed under: uncultured bacterium
Lineage: Bacteria
Description: partial 16S ribosomal RNA
Rfam family: Bacterial small subunit ribosomal RNA
Source: RNAcentral
GAUCCUGGCUCAGGAUGAACGCUAGCUACAGGCUUAACACAUGCAAGUCGAGGGGCAUCAGGAAGAAAGCUUGCUUUCUUUGCUGGCGACCGGCGCACGGGUGAGUAACACGUAUCCAACCUGCCCUUUACUCGGGGAUAGGCCUUUCGAAAGAAAGAUUAAUACCCGAUGGCAUAAUGAUUCCGCAUGGUUUCAUUAUUAAAGGAUUCCGGUAAAGGAUGGGGAUGCGUUCCAUUAGGUUGUUGGUNAGGG